Myxocyprinus asiaticus (Chinese sucker) is the source of this 2239-nucleotide long non-coding RNA. RefSeq lists it as uncharacterized. The transcript is spliced from 3 exons. Lineage: Eukaryota; Metazoa; Chordata; Actinopteri; Cypriniformes; Catostomidae. The record is from RefSeq and is a predicted model, not a curated record.
AAACCUCAAAAUAACAGGAUAACUUUGAGAUGACAAAAACAAUACAAAAUGAUGGCUGUUGUAUGUGCAACUAUGAACAAAAGCUCUGAACUCGCAUAUAUUCAGGCAUGUAAGAAUUUUCACAGAUUCAUUUAAUUACUGAGGGAAAAAAACGCUGUUGAAACGCUGCCCGUAAAGUUGGGAUUAAUGAAUCGAAAGCAUAGAUUUGUGUCUGCUUUCUGCUGCGUUUUUUUGUUUUUUGUCAUUUGCACGGGAGAAACUUGAAAGGGAGCGACCGCCGUUGGUUUGGAGGAACAAGGGACUGGCUGGCUGACCGGCUGGCUGACCGACUGGCUGACUGGUGGCAAGAAAGUGUGGUAGAAGUGACAGGUGCUGUUAAUGUGAAGUGCAAAGUGUGUGCAGUUGUUGUUGAAACUAUUGCAGAAUUAUAGGGACAUGGAUGAGGUGUCGUUGAGAAGACCACCAUGGGAAAUUUUGCGAGCAAGGAUGCUGCCAAGAAUGAACCCCGUGAUGUUGAAAUCAUCCUUGAGGGUGUGAUCGUUCUUCAGGACCUUGGGAAUGUGGCUUUUGCAACCUUGAUGUUAUUUGGUCUCAUUUAUGCGCUCAACCUGAAGUACCCCAUAAAGCUACACUACACUUUUGAGGUUUUGCUAAAAAAUCAUAAUAGAGCUGGAUGGAGGUGAGCUCUCUUAUAAGGCCCAAAACUUGAAAACUAAGCUUUACCAGUGAAUGCUCCCAAUCCCCCACCCUUUGGUACAUUGAAGGUCCUGUUUCACAGUACACUUUGAAGUGUUGUUUCACACUAUCAGAUCAGCAAUGCAGAGGAACUUCAACCCAGAGUAGUCUGAGAAGAGGAAUUUCAAAAUUAAAAUUAUUGCUACCAUGUAUAAAAAGGUAAAUGGCCAUUCAUAUGCAAAGAUGAGUACAUGGAGGCAGUUGUAUAUAUAUGCCAUUCUGGCAAUUGCCAAUGAAUAUGUACACAACAGUAUUUGCUUUUGAGCAGCAAUAUUUAGAUGGGGCUGUUACCAAUCUCCUACCCCCACCCCCAUGAAAUUCUGGAUCAAUUUUGUCAUUCAAAUUGACUUUACCUAUUCUGACAUUCAAACAUUUAAAAGACUGCAGUCCUGUUUCACAAUAUGUUUUUAGCAACCCCACUUAGUUGGGUAGAGGAGUCUGAGAGUAACUUCUAUAAGUUUAAUGAUUGUUGCUUCUAUGUCCAGCUGGUUGUUUGAAACACAUGCCGUUUCAUAUUCAUGAAGAAAUGUUCAAGUUAAUGUUUCUGUGAAUUUUUAUUUUUAUUUAUUUUUUUUGAAUGGCUAUACUUGUGCGCAGAGAAAUUAAUGGAUGCUUCUAUAAAGCAGUUGUGUGUAUGUCAUUCUGACAGUAAAAUGAGCAGCUAUAUUCUGAUGGGACCAAUUCCACACCCCCAUAAAAUACUGGAUGAAUUUAGUCAAUUUUGACUUUUACUGUUCUGAGAUUUAAACCUUUUUAAUAGAUUGAAGUGCUGUUUCAGUGUUUUCUAGGAGCCUUGCACAUGUAGAUGAGUCUGAGAGGACUACUUUUUUCAGUUAAAUGAUUAGUGCUGCUAUACUCUGUUUUUAGACUAACUGUUUAAUGUUAAUGCAGAAGUGUGAAAGUUGUUAAGUGUCAUGUUUUUGUUCAUUUGUUAUUUCAUGUCUUUUAUUUUAAAAAGUAGAUCGCUGUUUCCUGUUCCUGUUUCAUGUCAUGUGGUUUCCUUGUCAUGUGGCCUUCUUGUUUCACCAUGUUUAUUAGUCCUGUCUAUUCAUUGGUUUAUGUUUAUGGGUCUUGUUAUCUGUUCUGUUUCAUCAUUGGUUCUUGUUUCAUUGCCUAGUUAUCUUGUUAUCAGUUUUGUGUUUUCACUGGUUGUCUUGUUAAUGUGUUCACCUAGUCUGUGUAUUUAUAGCCCUCAUGUUCUCUGGUCCUGGGUCCAGUAUUGCUGAUGUAGCGUUGUUUAUGUUUGUUUUGGAUUUCCGUUUUUUGGCUUUAUUGCACUUUCUAAAUUAAAACAGCACUUGGGUUCUCACUUCCUCAUCGUCUUGUCUGUUCCUGUCUUCAGCCUGUCCUGCCUUGCCUGAAUGUUACAUUAAGGUCGUACUUAAGUUCAUGGGCUUCAUAAAGAAGUAAUUCACAUGUAAUUCUGGCUGUGAAAUUGUUGUCCAUUUAUACUUGAGUGUUGGCUAGUUUAUUUGUGGGACAGAUCUGGUUCACUUGAUGAAAU